UUGGAAUUCGUACAGGUAUGCCUUUGAUUUCAUUGUUUUUUCUACAGUUUGAGCUUUCAAUUCUUUUCCUGUUUGGUUGCCGAGAAAAUUGAAGAGAAUUACUUGGUGAUUGUGUGUGUGAGAAUUGUAGAAUUAAUAACUCAUUUGAGCUAAAUGAGAUUUUGUUUCAUGUUUUGAGUCAGUUUAUAUAUGUGAAAUGGAGUUGUAUGCAUACUGUUACGUUUUUCUUUCUUUCUUUCUCCCCCCUUUCGUUUUGUUUUCUUGGCUACCAAACGGAAAAUAGUUGUGGUCUGUCUCUCGACGACUAAAGGGAGCCUCUUGGCCACCACCGUCGUAGAGUCUCUUUCAUUCGCAUCGAUGAUGUGAAGUUGUGGGUGAAACCAUUUUAUUUUAGAGUUUUUAUUUUUCUCUAUUUCCUUCUCACCUCUGUUUGGUUCUUUCUCUUUUUUUUUUUUUUGAAGAUCCAGAAGGUCUAUAGAUUUUGGGAUUAUCAUCAUUGAAGGAGAGAACUUAUACCAAAGAUCAUUGAAAGAGCUUGUUGAGUUUGUGAACGAGCGGGUUCAAGUUGAUGGAAUUGUAGAGUUUGUGAAGGAAAUGCUCAAUGGCGGGAGUUAGAGACAUUCUUUCUUCAUCAUCUCCAACCACCAACUGGAUCUCUCUUCUCCCAUGGUUGUCCAAUUACUUAAUGUAUUUAUUCUACUUAUUUAUCUCAUAUUUAUUCAUUUUCAUUUCUAGAUUUUUAUUUGAGGUUCUGAAACUCAUGAAGGCCAAAGUAAGCAAUUAGGUCCUCUGAGGCAGUCUUGAGCUGGGUAUGACACGCAUGAGGCAAGUGUGAAGGAUGAGGAAGAGAUAGAGCCUAUAAAAUGCAUGAGCUGGGAUACAAAGAAGCUUUGAGAAUCUAGGCCCCAAUACAUACAUGCAGUUGCUCAUACGGAAAAACUCCUAUAAUAAUAACAAGAUUGACUGGAAUGGUGCAUGAAUCAUGUCUCUUCAAUGUAUGCUUUCAAUUGUGCCAUUAAUGUUUUCAUAUAUAUAUAUAUAUAUUAUUCAUAUGUGUAUUGCCUAAAUGUUACAAAUCAAUAGAAAAUAGAAAGUUAGAAGUUGUACUCAUGACUAUGCCUUUUCCUAUUGAACUUUCUGUUUUAUGAACUUUGAAGCUUGUUUUAGCUUUUAGUAUACCAAUAAUACAUGACUUAUUUAUGUGAAGAUGAAUCAUAUAAUAGUUAAAGUUGGAAGUCAAAUGGUACAUAUAUGGUUCUUUUGCCUUUUAUUUUCUUAUAAAAAAAGAGUCAAACUUUUCAUUAAUGUUUGCUAAGUAGAUGAAGAGCAUUUUUAUUGUGUGUGUGUUAGUUAAGUAGAGCCAUGCUAAACUCUGGCUCUAGCAUGAGAUUUUUUUUUAAUCUCAGUUUUUCUCUGUUCUGCAGUAUGAUUUAAUUUUAGUUUAUCUUUCUUGAGAAAAGUGACUUGUUGAGACUUUAUUGUUUGUUGGGACUCGAUUAGAGCAUAAGCAACAAGAAUAUAAAAUUAUCUAACUAUUAAAUUUAGACUAUAGAUAAAUAUAUAAAAUCAUUAUGCCUUAAUAAAUUCUCUUUAUACAUUGCACAUCAAAGACCAAUAAUUAAACUUUAAAUUGAUAUUGUUUGUUAGACUAUAUUAAGUUUUUUUCAUUAUGUUGUCUUUCAUCAUAUAGUGAUUUUCAUAUUUUAUGUGUUUUCUUAGUACAUUUUAAUGGGCCACUUAGCAAAUCUAGUUCUCAUGCAUGUUACAAGUAAUAGAAAAGCUUGGUCUUCUAAACAAUUCUAAGUUUGAAUUGUUAAGGAUUUACUAGUACAGUAGUCUUUCGUGAUCAUUUCCUUUUCAAGACUUAAUCAUUGGCUAUAAAUGACUCAUAAUUUUAUAAGUGCUUGUAUUUUUUUUUGUUUUCUUCUUUGUCUGACUCACGUACUCAUAAAUGCUCUAUAUGAAUCUAAUUAUUGAUAGUAAGGGUUUAGCUACAACAAUGUAUUCUUGAGCACUUAAAUUUUUUCCAAAAUGGAUUGAUUAUCACUUAAAAUUCGAGGCUUGCUUAGAUUUCAUAAUUACAUGGUAAUAUUUUUUUAAUAUAUAUGUAUGCUUGACCAUAUUUUUUCUUCAAUUCCUCUGAAAUAAGGUAGCAUGUCAACUUGCAUUUAUUAUGAUUAUGGAGCAUUUAUUCCCAAUUUGGUCUCUCCUUAUGUAAGAGUUAUAAAUCUUUUUUAUGUAAUGAGAUAAA
Molecule: long non-coding RNA, 2251 nt
Organism: Humulus lupulus (European hop)
Lineage: Eukaryota; Viridiplantae; Streptophyta; Magnoliopsida; Rosales; Cannabaceae
Exons: 3
Source: RefSeq, a predicted model, not a curated record